This 1429-nucleotide long non-coding RNA is filed under the name Salvia miltiorrhiza (redroot sage). RNAcentral's name for it is "long non-coding RNA (SMIL_LNC002977)". The record is from RNAcentral. Lineage: Eukaryota; Viridiplantae; Streptophyta; Magnoliopsida; Lamiales; Lamiaceae.
AGAGAUCGGAUGAGCUCAAACUCGCACUCAGAUAAAAUAUGUAUAUAUAUAAAAUACUGAUCACAAGUAAGGAAUAAAACAAGUGGAAAUUUUUAUGACUGAGUUUUGGUGAAAUUUUAUCUAUUAUUCAUAGGAUGGCAUUCAAAAAUUUACAUGGAUUUUAAAUAUAGAUGGAUGCACAAAAACGAAGAAAGCACUUGCGAAAUUGAAGAAUUUCAUAACAGGAAUUGAAGAAAUACUUUUGCGAAAUUGACGAAUUCCAGAGGAAACACUUGCAAAAUUGAAGAAAUAGAUGGAUUUUACAUAGAAUUCCAGAACAACAAUAACAGAGGAACAAUUGCGGAAUUAAUACACAGGGGAAUGGCGGAAUCUGGUGUUGUCUGGGAAGAUCGAAGAUGACGACUGGUGUUCAAGGGGAAUGGCGGAGCGUCCAAGGUCGUUUUUCUCUCUCAAUCAGUGACUGAUGUUCUAUUGGAAAGGUUGAAGACGACGGCUGUGCUGCACUUGCAGUAAGGGGCGGAGCCGGGGGGCUGAAGCCCCCUCCCAAAUUUUGAGAUUUUUAAAAAAUAUAUAUAUAGAUUUCUCGGGGACGGUGCAAGUUCAGCCCCCUCCCAAAUUAAUUGCUGGCUGCUUGCAGUGCUCAACCUCAAACUCCCGCCCAUCCCAGCAGAUAAGAUUAGCGCCAUGUGGCGCUUCGGUCAUGGUGCCAAGAGAUACGGCACUGAUCCAUCCAUAUGUGGUCGCAAAAUGGAAAUAUAACGGAAUAUGACAUCCAACGGCCCAGAUUCAGCGUCCGAUGCAAACGGAAAAACAAAAACCGGAAAAACGGAGAAACAAAAAAGAUUGGGGCACCUCUCCUUCCUCGUCCGUCUCUGUCUUUGUCUCAACCUCAAGUCUUCGUCUUCGUCUCAGUCUCUAUAAGUGAUUGGGGCCGACAUCUAAGGAGGACUUGACUCAAACGGAGCUAGACAGUCAGCGUACCCUUCUUUGCCAUCCAUCUUCUUCAUCAGCCAAACAAAGCCAACUUACUCAUCCAAGACAAAGACAAACGAUUUCAAGAGGAACUCAAAUGCAUAUUCUCAAAACAACAACCUUAGCUCAUCAACUCAUACCAAGCCAUCAAGACACUCAUCCUCAAGUCUUCGUCUGCGUCUUCGUCUCCGUCUCUGUCUUUGUCUCAACCUCAAGUCUUCCUCUUCGUCUUCGUCUCAGUCUCUAUAAGUGAUAGGGGCCUACAUUUGUAUGGACCACGAGAGAGUAGGUGUGGAAAUAACAUCUAAGGAGGACUUGACUCAAACGCAAAAAACAAAAAAGACAUCAAAAGCCACACCCAUCAAGACUCUCAAGUCUUGUAAUAUUUGUGUAUAUAGCUUGCAGUUAUUAGCGACUUAAUUAUCAUAAUACAAUCACAAUCACAGUUAUUAGCGAC